This 448-nucleotide ribosomal RNA is filed under the name uncultured bacterium. RNAcentral's name for it is "SSU rRNA". It matches the Rfam family "Bacterial small subunit ribosomal RNA", at positions 26 to 518 of the family's 1533-position model. The record is from RNAcentral.
AGAGCGAACGCUGGCGGCAUGCUUAACACAUGCAAGUCGCACGGGCACUUCGGUGUCAGUGGCGGACGGGUGAGUAACGCGUAGGUAUCUAUCCUUGGGUGGGGGACAACUGUGGGAAACUACAGCUAAUACCGCAUGAUAACUGAGGUUUAAAGGCGCAAGUCGCCUGAGGAGGAGCCUGCGUACGAUUAGCUAGUUGGUGGGGUAAAGGCCUACCAAGGCGACGAUCGUUAGCUGGUCUGAGAGGAUGAUCAGCCACAUUGGGACUGAGACACGGCCCAAACUCCUACGGGAGGCAGCAGUGGGGAAUAUUGGACAAUGGGCGCAAGCCUGAUCCAGCAAUGCCGCGUGUGUGAAGAAGGUCUUCGGAUUGUAAAGCACUUUCGACGGGGACGAUGAUGACGGUACCCGUAGAAGAAGCCCCGGCUAACUUCGUGCCAGCAGCCGC